GGAGAGAUGGCAGAGUGGUCGAAUGCGGUGGUCUUGAAAACCAUUGUACGGCAACGUACCGGGGGUUCGAAUCCCUCUCUCUCCG
This 85-nucleotide transfer RNA is filed under the name Marinifilum flexuosum. RNAcentral's name for it is "tRNA-Ser". It matches the Rfam family "tRNA". From Rfam's summary of the family: Transfer RNA (tRNA) molecules are approximately 80 nucleotides in length. Their secondary structure includes four short double-helical elements and three loops (D, anti-codon, and T loops). Lineage: Bacteria; Pseudomonadati; Bacteroidota; Bacteroidia; Marinilabiliales; Marinifilaceae. The record is from RNAcentral. RNAcentral also lists the same sequence under 8 other names.